RNAcentral lists this ribosomal RNA (498 nucleotides) under uncultured bacterium. RNAcentral describes it as "partial 16S ribosomal RNA". It matches the Rfam family "Bacterial small subunit ribosomal RNA", at positions 29 to 523 of the family's 1533-position model. The record is from RNAcentral.
AUUGAACGCUGGCGGCAUGCCUUACACAUGCAAGUCGAACGGUAACGCGGGGCAACCUGGCGACGAGUGGCGAACGGGUGAGUAAUGUAUCGGAACGUGCCCAGUUGUGGGGGAUAACUGCUCGAAAGAGCAGCUAAUACCGCAUACGACCUGAGGGUGAAAGCGGGGGAUCGCAAGACCUCGCGCAGUUGGAGCGGCCGAUAUCAGAUUAGGUAGUUGGUGGGGUAAAGGCUCACCAAGCCAACGAUCGGUAGCUGGGCUGAGAGGACGACCAGCCACACUGGGACUGAGACACGGCCCAGACACCUUGGGGAGGCAGCAGUGGUGAAUGUUGGACAGUGGGCGCAAGCCUGAUCCAGCCAUGCCGCGUGCGGGAAGAAGGCCCUCGGGUUGUAAACCGCUUUUGUCAGGGAAGAAAAGACUCCUGUUAAUACCGGGGGUUCAUGACGGUACCUGAAGAAUAAGCACCGGCUAACUACGUGCCAGCAGCCGCGGUAA